AUGUUGACAGGGGCGGAUCUAUAGCAUUUUAGGGGGUUCCCAGGAACCCGUUCAGUUCGUAUCUUAUAGUGUUAAAUCAUUAAGAAACUUCUAAAGGAACCCUUUAAUAUUUUGAAAGGGAACCUUAUAAAUAAAGUUAUGGAUUGGUCUGGCGGUAACUAUGCGCGCUGCCUAACCUAGAGAUCCCGAGUUCGAGUCGGGUAAAUACCUUUUUUCUCGUUUUUUUUAAACUCAAAAAACAUUAGGGUUUAGUUUUCCCCUUUUCUGUUUACCCUCAAACCCAAACACGAACAGAACACACACUAAACACAGCGGCCGCUCCAGAUCAGUCCUACCACUCAUCCAAUCGUCACAAAAGCACUUGCCAGAGCCACUCCAGCCUCAACGGCUCAGUCACGUAGCCCCUCCGGCCUUCCCUCAGUCCCUCACUUACUCACUCUCUUCGGCCCUUCACUCCUCCAGGUGUGCGAGUACGCAAGUGUGUAGGUGUGUUAGCUUGAUGGUAUGAAGAAAAUGGAUUAGCCCGACAUUAUGCACAAUUGUUAGAUGAUCGGUACAUGUACUAGAUUUUUGUUUAUAAAAAAAUAAUACAGGCUGCUUAUGAGAUGAAUGUUACCCGACCCGAACCGUCGAACCGACCCGAAUUUUUUUAUGUUCGGACAUGUGAAUUUGGAGCAUUAAAAAAAGUGAACCCCUUGGAAAAAAUUUCUGGAUCCGCCACUGGAUGUUGAUCAUGUUGAUGAUAUGAGAUGUUGAGUUUGUGUUAUUAGUGUUAGUGAGUUCGAAGUUUUGGAUGGAGACGGUGCGGAUGCGGAGGUGAGGGUUAUCGACGCGGAGAAAUACGGAUGCGAAGAUCAGGAAGAUGGUGCUGAUGAAGACGAUGGUGGCCAGUAUGUAUACGAGAGACUUGUUGGUUUUUUGGUGCUUUGGUUUGGUGAAUGGUGUGAUGGUUGUGUAGGGUUGUCCGUCGCUCUUUACGCCGGCUGGUGCGAUCGGGAUCAUUUGGUUCUCUGCGUCGGCCAUGUGUGUUUGUGUGUGUUUGUGUGUGUGUGAUUUCAGGUGUGAAAUAUUUGUAUGAAGGUGUGUGUAUAUGAGAAGAAGAUGAUGAGGAAUGCCGGCAUUAAAUGGAUUUCAUAUGAUAUACCACUAUGUAAAGUUUCAUAUUAACCCUUUUGUUUUAAUAAUGUGUGUAUAAGACUUUAA
Long non-coding RNA from Helianthus annuus (common sunflower), 1203 nucleotides. RefSeq lists it as uncharacterized. The transcript is spliced from 2 exons. Lineage: Eukaryota; Viridiplantae; Streptophyta; Magnoliopsida; Asterales; Asteraceae. The record is from RefSeq and is a predicted model, not a curated record.